UACAGAGGGGGCAAGCGUUAUUCGGAAUUAUUGGGCGUAAAGGGCGCGUAGGCGGCUUUGCAAGUGGCGGGUGAAAUCCCUCGGCUUAACCGAGGAACUGCCUGCCAGACUGUGAGGCUUGAGACCGGGAGAGGUGAGUGGAAUUCCCAGUGUAGCGGUGAAAUGCGUAGAUAUUGGGAGGAACACCGGUGGCGAAGGCGGCAUCCUGGACCGGUAUUGACGCUGAGGCGCGAAAGCCAGGGGAGCAAACGGG
Molecule: ribosomal RNA, 253 nt
Filed under: uncultured bacterium
Lineage: Bacteria
Description: partial 16S ribosomal RNA
Rfam family: Bacterial small subunit ribosomal RNA
Source: RNAcentral